UUUUUUAUUCAACAGAGAUAGAGACAGCCAGCGAGAGAGGGAACACAAGCAGGGGGAGUGGGAGAGGAAGAAGCAGGCUCAUAGCGGAGGAGCCUGACGUGGGGCUCGAUCCCAUAACGCCGGGAUCACGCCCUGAGCCGAAGGCAGACGCUCAACCGCUGUGCCACCCAGGCGCCCCUGGAUACCAUGUUUUUAACCGCUAAGUUAUUUGAAAGUGAAACAGUAUAGGUUGUCUUGUUUUGCUUUGUUUUGCUUUAAAACAACCUCAAACUCACAGCGUAGCUCAAAUUCACAGCUGGACAAUAAUAAUUAAGAUCUGAGCCGCGAGCUUUGUUACAAAUGGGAAGAGUACCAUUGGGGUAGGAAAACCCUGCAAACACUUGGAAUGUUAAUUUCCCAUUUCCAAAGAGAUUCUGAUUUUAUUUUUAAACCUAGCGUCUUAUCUCUUCAAAGAAACAUUUUGCAGCCUUACUUGUUUUUGUCUUUCCCUUAAAAAAAAAAAAGCUUUUCUUAAUUUCUUCUUCUUUUCCAUUUAGGUAUGCCCAUGUCUACCGCAUAGUGGGGAAAAAAUCCUUGGCUGCUUCCUCUGGCUUUUUAGAAAGACCUGUUUCUUCCUUCCACUUGCCCUCCACUUCCUCAAGCAGUCAUUUGGAAAAUGACACUCGACUCACAUCAAAAAACUCUCCCUGCCGUCUGCCUUCCCUCCAAGCCAACAGACACACGCUCCUACCUUCAAAGCAAAUCCGGUCAGUGAUUCUCCUCCAAUGUCAGACCCAACUAGUGGCACGUUCAUCAGCAUAAGCACUCCAGAUGUCAGAGGCUGUACCCAAAUUGAGAUAGGUGCCUUGUCUCUCCAGCUAUUAAGUAAGAAGAAUUCUGAUAUUAGACCUUGGGCUGCCCUAUCUUUCCUAACCUCUCUUUCCCCAUCUUUAAAAAGCGGAUAAUGACACUAAUUUUCAGGGUGGUCAUGAGUGUUAAAACAAACUAUUAGGUGGGAAGCUUUUUUUUUUUUUUUUUUUGGUCAUUGCUUUAGGACCAUCUCAACACCUGGGGCUUUUCAAGGAGGGUUUUGAGGGCCUUAAAGCAUGCUUACUCUGCAGGAGGCUGCAGGUACCACCGGGCGCCAGUAUACAGCCUUCGGGGCAUACGUUGUUUCCGUAAUUACUCCCUUCAGGGUAUUUCCUUAUGAGGUUGAUUUUGUUCCUUAUAAAAAUGUUAUUGCAGAAAAGAAAGCCAGGUUAUGAGAAGUAAUUGCGUUUGAUUUUUCAUAUUGUUGUAAGGGACAGAAGGAAACAAAGUGUUAUGUUCAUUCUCUUCCUUCUUUUCAACUGCAGGUUCCCUUAGAUGGACUCCAGUGAAUGAUUUUACACGAGUACCCACCACAGC
Molecule: long non-coding RNA, 1386 nt
Filed under: Ursus maritimus (polar bear)
Lineage: Eukaryota; Metazoa; Chordata; Mammalia; Carnivora; Ursidae
Description: lncRNA (ENSUMAG00000025151.1)
Source: RNAcentral